CAUUUGAGUGAGUGGCGAACUGGUGAGUAACACGUGGGAAACCUGCCCAGAAGCGGGGGAUAACACCUGGAAACAGAUGCUAAUACCGCAUAACAACUUGGACCGCAUGGUCCGAGUUUGAAAGAUGGCUUCGGCUAUCACUUUUGGAUGGUCCCGCGGCGUAUUAGCUAGAUGGUGRGGUAACGGCUCACCAUGGCAAUGAUACGUAGCCGACCUGAGAGGGUAAUCGGCCACAUUGGGACUGAGACACGGCCCAAACUCCUACGGGAGGCAGCAGUAGGGAAUCUUCCACAAUGGACGAAAGUCUGAUGGAGCAACGCCGCGUGAGUGAAGAAGGGUUUCGGCUCGUAAAACUCUGUUGUUAAAGAAGAACAUAUCUGAGAGUAACUGUUCAGGUAUUGACGGUAUUUAACCAGAAAGCCACGGCUAACUACGUGCCAGCAGCCGCGGUAAUACGUAGGUGGCAAGCGUUGUCCGGAUUUAUUGGGCGUAAAGCGAGCGCAGGCGGUUUUUUAAGUCUGAUGUGAAAGCCUUCGGCUCAACCGAAGAAGUGCAUCGGAAACUGGGAAACUUGAGUGCAGAAGAGGACAGUGGAACUCCAUGUGUAGCGGUGAAAUGCGUAGAUAUAUGGAAGAACACCAGUGGCGAAGGCGGCUGUCUGGUCUGUAACUGACGCUGAGGCUCGAAAGUAUGGGUAGCAAACAGGAUUAGAUACCCUGGUAGUCCAUACCGUAAACGAUGAAUGCUAAGUGUUGGAGGGUUUCCGCCCUUCAGUGCUGCAGCUAACGCAUUAAGCAUUCCGCCUGGGGAGUACGGCCGCAAGGCUGAAACUCAAAGGAAUUGACGGGGGCCCGCACAAGCGGUGGAGCAUGUGGUUUAAUUCGAAGCUACGCGAAGAACCUUACCAGGUCUUGACAUACUAUGCAAAUCUAAGAGAUUAGACGUUCCCUUCGGGGACAUGGAUACAGGUGGUGCAUGGUUGUCGUCAGCUCGUGUCGUGAGAUGUUGGGUUAAGUCCCGCAACGAGCGCAACCCUUAUUAUCAGUUGCCAGCAUUAAGUUGGGCACUCUGGUGAGACUGCCGGUGACAAACCGGAGGAAGGUGGGGAUGACGUCAAAUCAUCAUGCCCCUUAUGACCUGGGCUACACACGUGCUACAAUGGAUGGUACAACGAGUUGCGAACUCGCGAGAGUAAGCUAAUCUCUUAAAGCCAUUCUCAGUUCGGAUUGUAGGCUGCAACUCGCCUACAUGAAGUCGGAAUCGCUAGUAAUCGCGGAUCAGCAUGCCGCGGUGAAUACGUUCCCGGGCCUUGUACACACCGCCCGUCACACCAUGAGAGUUUGUAA
Molecule: ribosomal RNA, 1346 nt
Filed under: Lactiplantibacillus plantarum
Lineage: Bacteria; Bacillati; Bacillota; Bacilli; Lactobacillales; Lactobacillaceae
Description: bacterial SSU rRNA
Rfam family: Bacterial small subunit ribosomal RNA
Source: RNAcentral